RNAcentral lists this ribosomal RNA (376 nucleotides) under uncultured organism. Its description in RNAcentral is "partial 16S ribosomal RNA". It matches the Rfam family "Bacterial small subunit ribosomal RNA", at positions 527 to 896 of the family's 1533-position model. The record is from RNAcentral.
GUAGGUGGCAAGCGUUGUCCGGAAUUAUUGGGCGUAAAGCGCGCGCAGGUGUUUCUUUAAGUCUGAUGUGAAAGCCCCCGGCUCAACCGGGGAGGGUCAUUGGAAACUGGGGAACUUGGAGUGCAGGAGAGGAAAGUGGAAUUCCACGUGUAGCGGUGAAAUGCGUAGAUAUGUGGAGGAACACCAGUGGCGAAGGCGACUUUCUGGCCUGUAACUGACACUGAGGCGCGAAAGCGUGGGGAGCAAACAGGGAUUAGAUACCCUGGUAGUCCACGCCGUAAACGAUGAGUGCUAAGUGUUGGGGGGGGUUUCCCGCCCCGUCAGUGCUGCAGCUAACGCAUUAAGCACUCCGCCUGGGGAUACGGUCGCAAGACUG